Molecule: ribosomal RNA, 497 nt
Filed under: uncultured bacterium
Lineage: Bacteria
Description: partial 16S ribosomal RNA
Rfam family: Bacterial small subunit ribosomal RNA
Source: RNAcentral
GACGAACGCUGGCGGCGUGCCUAAUACAUGCAAGUUGAGCGCUGAAGGUUGGUACUUGUACCGACUGGAUGAGCAGCGAACGGGUGAGUAACGCGUGGGGAAUCUGCCUUUGAGCGGGGGACAACAUUUGGAAACGAAUGCUAAUACCGCAUAAAAACUUUAAACACAAGUUUUAAGUUUGAAAGAUGCAAUUGCAUCACUCAAAGAUGAUCCCGCGUUGUAUUAGCUAGUUGGUGAGGUAAAGGCUCACCAAGGCGAUGAUACAUAGCCGACCUGAGAGGGUGAUAGGCCACAUUGGGACUGAGACACGGCCCAAACUCCUACGGGAGGCAGCAGUAGGGAAUCUUCGGCAAUGGACGAAAGUCUGACCGAGCAACGCCGCGUGAGUGAAGAAGGUUUUCGGAUCGCAAAACUCUGUUGGUAGAGAAGAACGUUGGUGAGAGUGGAAAGCUCAUCAAGUGACGGUAACUACCCAGAAAGGGACGGCUAACUACGUG